This 274-nucleotide ribosomal RNA is filed under the name uncultured bacterium. RNAcentral's name for it is "partial 16S ribosomal RNA". It matches the Rfam family "Bacterial small subunit ribosomal RNA", at positions 523 to 796 of the family's 1533-position model. The record is from RNAcentral.
AUACGAAAGGUGCGAGCGUUGUUCGGAUUUACUGGGCGUAAAGCGAGUGUAGGUGGUUUGUUAAGUCGGAUGUGAAAUCCCGGGGCUCAACCUCGGAACUGCAUUCGAUACUGGCAGGCUAGAGUUCGGGAGGGGUAAGCGGAAUUCCGUGUGUAGCAGUGAAAUGCGUAGAUAUACGGAGGAACACCUGAGGCGAAGGCGGCUUACUGGACCGAUACUGACACUGAGACUCGAAAGCGUGGGUAGCAAACAGGAUUAGAAACCCUAGUAGUCC